Cavia porcellus (domestic guinea pig) is the source of this 145-nucleotide small nuclear RNA. Its record names the gene U2. It matches the Rfam family "U2 spliceosomal RNA". From Rfam's summary of the family: U2 is a small nuclear RNA (snRNA) component of the spliceosome (involved in pre-mRNA splicing). Complementary binding between U2 snRNA (in an area lying towards the 5' end but 3' to hairpin I) and the branchpoint sequence (BPS) of the intron results the bulging out of an unpaired adenosine, on the BPS, which initiates a nucleophilic attack at the intronic 5' splice site, thus starting the first of two transesterification reactions that mediate splicing. NCBI's taxonomy places the organism in Eukaryota, Metazoa, Chordata, Mammalia, Rodentia, Caviidae. The record is from Ensembl.
ACCACUUUUCAGCCUUUUGGCUAAGAUCAAGUGUAGUAUCUGUUCUUACCAGUUUAAACAGAAUUUCUUAUUUCUUAUAGGAAAAGCAAGAUAACAUAAAUUUCAUAAAAGGUAAUGAAUCAAAGUAGUGACUACUUAAUUCCAA